RNAcentral lists this long non-coding RNA (443 nucleotides) under Calidris pugnax (ruff). Its description in RNAcentral is "lncRNA (ENSCPUG00000006084.1)". The record is from RNAcentral. Lineage: Eukaryota; Metazoa; Chordata; Aves; Charadriiformes; Scolopacidae.
UAUAUAAUCUAAACAGGGACGUACCUAUAUUGCUCUUGUGGUAUGAAGAGAUCUGAUGUAAAAAUAAACGCACUCUACCUUUUUUGUUUAGGUUUCCCCCUCACAGACACAGUUAACACCAGAAAGCCUGUCUCAACUGAAGCUCCAGACGAAUUGGGCUACAGGCUGAGCUUUAGAAUAGUCAAUGAAAACUUAACUAACCCGGACCCUCAGUCUCCAGAAUACAAAGCAGCAGUGGAGAGCAUCACUAACAAGGUGAAUCAACUGUACCAUCAGAGCAACCUGCGAGACCAGUUCCUGAACUGCAGUAUCACAAGGCUGAGGACCGGAUCCAUAGUGGUCGACUGCAAGUGCUUCUUCCAGCCAGAGCCCAGCAUCAACAGGACUGUGGUUGAAAGGACUUUCCAGGACAGGACUUCAAAUGCAACUGGACUAUGGCUGGG